CGGUCCAGGCCUCACGCUGAGCACAGCUGACAGGACACACAGCCAAAGUGAGGAGAAGCUUCUCUUUACCGAUCAGCUGAUUCUUCUUUGGGCCAGCUGCUCAUCUGAAAUGUGAAUUUUCAGCGCAUUAAGAACCGGACAGAGCCCUUCCUGCAUCAUUUUCAAACAAGGCGUGUGUGGCCGGCCCCGCCCUGUGGAACCACGGAGCAGCUCUCUUGUACCAGACUGCCCACUACUCCCAGAAGAAGCUCACCUCUGUCCCACCAGUGCACAGCUGCACAGUCAGAACAGAGGUGGCACAAGCCAAGAACCAUGGAGUAACCAUUGCAUCCUUCAUAUUGUUAAGUGCAAAGCUAGUCAACUCUAUCCUUACCACAGAGAAGAUGAAAAAGUUCAAAUAUCAGCGAACAUCUGGUACAACUGCUGAACACUGUUGUGUGUCUUUAUGCCAGACUACUACAUGCUGGAAGUGUACCAUAUUAAUUUGUCUAGCUUUGUACUAGAACAUAGAAGUCUGUGGAUGGACAACAACCAUAAUUUGUGUGCGUUUGGAGAAUAGUUUCAAUGCAAUCACAUGACAUCACUUUCUUUCACUGUCAUCUGUAUGUUCACCUAUUAAGGAUAUUUCAUUGUUAACUUUGAAUUAACUACUAUUUGUUGAAAUACUUGUUUCUUUUUCAACUGAUGUGUAUGUUUUACUUAAUGUAACUUCAACUUUACUGCUUUUUGUGUUAACAUUUUGGUACUUUGACAUAAACACUUUGGUAUCAAGGCCUGUCAUAUUUUCUCAUUACUUCA
Myripristis murdjan (pinecone soldierfish) is the source of this 798-nucleotide long non-coding RNA. RefSeq lists it as uncharacterized. NCBI's taxonomy places the organism in Eukaryota, Metazoa, Chordata, Actinopteri, Holocentriformes, Holocentridae. The record is from RefSeq and is a predicted model, not a curated record. The transcript has 3 exons.